Molecule: long non-coding RNA, 665 nt
Filed under: Eutrema salsugineum
Lineage: Eukaryota; Viridiplantae; Streptophyta; Magnoliopsida; Brassicales; Brassicaceae
Description: long non-coding RNA (ESAL_LNC000145)
Source: RNAcentral
UCGAAAGUAAAAGAAGAAGAAGAAGAGAAGAUACAAUGCAAAUAUAUAUAUAUAUAUAUAUAUAUAUUGGGUUUUUCCAAAGUUGUAUAGUUUGUAAUUUCGUUCUUAAUAAAAUCAAGUGUGAAGUGGAGUCUUAACAAGCAAGAGAAACGCCUCUACUGCCACUAGGACCCACACGUCUCCUAAUCUACGGUCCCAAUACCAUCCCAGCCAUUGAUCUUCCCUUUCUUUUUUUUUUUCAUUCGAUGGAACGACGUCGUCGGGGACAUAUAUAUAUAUAUAUAUGUAUAUAAUAUUUUAGAUAGACAAUACACGAAGACAGUAUAUUCGAUCGUCGGCGUGGAAAACCGGCGUUUGUCUGGGGAGUAGACAGACCGGCGGCUAACUGCAAAGAGAGUGUACGUGUGGGACCCAACCAAUACGCGCACCAAAGUGAAUCUCUUCGAGGACUCUCUCAACAAGUCUCUCUCUCUGUCUGAUCGAUCAUUGAUCUGAGUUGGACGGUGGACGUUAGUCAUCUUUGUGGACCCUACCUGUUUGUGUUAUUUGUGAAUCCUCUCUCAUCUCAGCCGUCCGAUCUCUCCCUCUCUCGUGGGCCCGACCAUCUUCCUCCUCUAUUUCUUCUUCUUCUUAUAUUGCGAUCCACGUCACCACCUCUCCCUCCC